AGUGAACGCUGGCGGUAGGCCUAACACAUGCAAGUCGAACGGCAGCACAGUAAGAGCUUGCUCUUACGGGUGGCGAGUGGCGGACGGGUGAGGAAUACAUCGGAAUCUACUUUUUCGUGGGGGAUAACGUAGGGAAACUUACGCUAAUACCGCAUACGACCUACGGGUGAAAGCAGGGGAUCUUCGGACCUUGCGCGAUUGAAUGAGCCGAUGUCGGAUUAGCUAGUUGGCGGGGUAAAGGCCCACCAAGGCGACGAUCCGUAGCUGGUCUGAGAGGAUGAUCAGCCACACUGGAACUGAGACACGGUCCAGACACCUACGGGAGGCAGCAGUGGGGAAUAUUGGACAAUGGGCGAAAGCCUGAUCCAGCCAUACCGCGUGGGUGAAGAAGGACUUCGGGUUGUAAAGCCCUUUUGUUGGGAAAGAAAAGCAGCAGGUUAAUACCGCGCUGUUCUGACGGUACCCAAAGAAUAAGCACCGGCUAACUUCGUG
RNAcentral lists this ribosomal RNA (492 nucleotides) under uncultured bacterium. RNAcentral describes it as "partial 16S ribosomal RNA". It matches the Rfam family "Bacterial small subunit ribosomal RNA", at positions 29 to 507 of the family's 1533-position model. The record is from RNAcentral.